GUACCAAAUCUAAUGCUUUUACAGUUCUCAAGUCCUACUUAGUUAUGGUAGAAAGGCAAUUUAAAACAAAGGUACAAAUUAUUAGAACAGACAAUGCUUUUGAGUUAGGCAGUGGCAAAAUACAAUAAGAAUUUUUUCAAUCCCAAUGAAUUAUACACCAAACCACUUGUGUACAUACUCCACAACAAAAUGGAGUUGUGGAGAGAAAGCAUAAGCAUUUGUUAGAAACUUACAAGGCUUUGUUAUACCAAUCACACUUACCCAUAGCAUAUUGGGGGGAUUGUCUACUCAUUGCUACCUAUUUAAUCAACAAAUUUCUUUCAACAAUUUUACAAUCUAAAACACCUUAUGAGAUACUUUUCAGAACCAAGCCAAACUACUCCAUGUUAAGGUGUUUUGGUUGUUUAUGUUUUGCUUCUACUCCUUCAUAUCACAGAACCAAGUUUGCACCUAGGGUUGUAGCUUGUGUUUUCUUAGGGUAUCCACAUGGUAAGAAAUGCUAUAAAUUGCUUAAUCUCAAAACUAUGAGAACUUUCAUCCCAAGGGAUGUUGUGUUUCAUGAGUAAUUUUUCCCUUUUGCUACAAUUAGUUCUAGUCUUUCCUCUAAUCCUACUUUGCCUACUACUAAAUUCCAUCCUACUCAUGUGCCUAUUUCAGAACUUAAACCAGUUGCUCCCUCUUCUCAUGCCUCCAACACACCACUCACCUCACCAGUCUCUAGUCUUCCUACUGCCUCAUCUAUGUUAUCUCAUCUUCCUACAACACACCUUACCUCUGACUAUACCUUAGAAACUUCAUCUUCAUCACAUAGUCCUAUUCCUAUGUUUCCUUCCUUUGGAACUGAACCUCACUUAGAAAAUCUCAUCAGAAAGUCUUCCAGGCCACACAACCCUCCUGCCUAUCUCAAGGAUUACAUUUGCAAUGCCCUACAUCUCACAAAUGUGAGCACUUCCUGGUUCCUCACUCCUGUGACACCUCAUUUUUUUUCUUUUAGUGGUCUAUCUUCUACCAACCAACAUAUGCUCAACUCUCUUUCUAAUCUUCAUGAACCUGUUAGUUUUACAUAGGAAGCACUCCAUUCAGGGUGGCAGGAUGCUAUGGCAAAGGAGAUUGAGGCUCUUGAGCUCAAUAAGACCUGGGAUGUGAUAGAGUUACCACCAGGGAAGAAGGCUUUGCCAUGUAAGUGGGUUUACAAAAUUAAACAACAUUCUGAUGGUUCUGUGGAAAGAUUGAAGGCCAGGUUGGUUGUAAGGGGAGACAUUCAGAAAGAAGGCAUUGAUUUUAAUAAAACAUAUUCCCCUGUGGUCAAGAUGACCACAAUAAGGUGCAUACUUGCUGCAGCUGUUAAAAGGGAUGGGGACUCUAUCAAUUAGAUGUGAAUAAUGCCUUUUUACAUGGGAAUUUAAAUUAAUAAGUCUACAUGAAAUUUUCAGGUAGUAUCACACCACCUUCUCCUAAUCAUGUAUGCAAAUUAAAGAAAUCUCUGUAUGGACUCUGACAAGCUUCUUGUCAGUGGUAUGCCAAGGUUACUACAACCUUGAGUUUUAAAGGUUUCACUCACUCUUUGAAUGACUAUUCAUUAUUCUUCAAAAAGACAGGUUCCUCUAUCUCUAUUGUUGCGGUAUAUGUAGAUGACAUUCUAUUAACAGGUAAUGAUGAUGCUGAACUACAUGUUUUAAAAGAGUUUCUCAAUCAGGAAUUCAAAAUUAAGGAUCUUGGUUUCUUGCAUUUUUUUUCUUGGCAUGGAAGUCAUUCGAGAACCUCAAGGAUUGAUCCUAUCCCAGAGAAAGUUUACUUUGGAUCUUUUGCAUGAAUUUGCAUCUUUGCAUUUGUCUCCUGCCUCCUCACCUCUUGAUUCUUCUAUCAAAUUGCUCACCAAAACAGGGGAUCCUGUGAAGGAUCUGACCUUAUAUCGUCAUCUUCUCGGUAAGCAUAAUUAUCUUACCCACACCAGGCCUGACCUGUCUUUCACCAUCCAACACCUCAGUCAAUACAUGCAAGACCCACGCCAACCACAUCUUGAUGCUGCUUAUCGAGUACUCUGUUAUCUUUUAAAAGACCCAGGCCUUGGUUUUUUUAUGUCUGCCUCACCUUCAUUUCAGCUCCUUGCUUUUUGUGACUCUGAUUGGGGCACUUGUCCUGAAUCCCGCCGAUCAGUCAGUGAUUUUUACAUAUCCAUAGGCUCUUCUCAUAUUUCUUGGAAGUCCAAGAAACAAACUUACAUCUCUCUUAGUUCUGCUGAGGCAGAAUACCUUUCCAUGAGACGGGUAGUAGCUGAGCUCACUUGGUUGGUUCGCCUCUUUGAAGAUCUGUCCAUCCUCAUUUCUUUUCAUGUUCCUCUUCAUUCUGAUAGUCAAGCCGCACUUCAUAUCACGAAGAACCUCGUGUUCCAUGAACGCACCAAGCAUGUCGAAAUCGACUGUCACUUUGUGCGACAACAAUUUCUUGCUGGGCUUAUCUCUCUUUCUUUUGUUAGAUCUGAUUCUCAGCUUACAGAUCUCUUCACUAAACCUCUCACCGGUCCUCGUCAUCGGAAUCUAUUGGGCAAGUUGGGUGUUCGUACCUUCCCCUCCAACUUGAGGGGGGUGUUGGUGUUACCCUAAUUUCUAAGAAAGUUAGAGAAGACGAAGAAGUAGUUUGAUGUUUCUAAGGUUAACUUUGUUUUAUCUGAAAUGUGUUAAUAUGUUUUAUGCUUUGAUUUGUAAAGAAGACUUGGACUUGGGCCUUAUUUUCUACUGGGACAUUUCUAUUGGGCUCAUUACUGGACCAUCGCUGGAAGCAACUGGAAGGCUAACUCUUCUAGAAGAUCAGAAUACAUUACAUUUUAUACUUGUGAUUAUUUAUCUUUUAUAUUUAUCUUCUAUUCAGUUAUAGAGAAUAAAAAUUAGUUAUAGAGUAGUCAGUAAUAGAAUAUCACUUGGCUUUUCUGUUUUUACCCUAGAUUCUUUUCUUCCUUGUAUUUAUACAUCAUCUCUGUACAGCAGAUUAUCAAUUCAAUACAAAAAGGAAAAUUCUCAACGUUGGUUUUUUACAUUUCUACAUCUUCCCCCAUGAUCUCAAUUGUUAAUGUCAUGUUUAAGACAAUCAUUUUGUAACCUUCAUAUGUAAUAGUAUAAAUAGAGGCAUGAAAUGUGAGAUGGAAUAUACUUGACACUUGAUGAAAUAAGAAAGUUAUCUCUUCUUCUCUUAUUCUACUUAUUUUCUUGUUUUAUAUUGUUACUUUGAGCUACAUUUCUUAAUACGUUAUCAGUACGAAGUUGAGCUCUUUUCGUUGUUCAGGUAUAUUUGUUCAUUUAGUUUUCUUUGUUGUAUAUUUUAAUUUCAUGAUUAGUGUCUUUAAUAUGUAGUUUUAUAAUUUCUCACAUCUCUAGAUAUAUGUAAAAAUAAAGAACUAUGGGUGUGUUUGGUAUGAAGGAAAACAUUUUCCGGAAAAUAUUUUCCAAUUUUCCCAUGUUUGGUUGGCUUAAAUAUUUUAGAAAACAUUUUCCUUAUGAACUCAUUUUCCUCCAAUUGGAGGAAAAUGUUUUCCUCAUCAAGAGAAGGGAAAACAUUUUCCAAAACUCCUUCUCAACCUUCCCCACCCUCACCAACCCACCCCACCCCGUCUCCAAAAACAGUUUUUUUUAAAUUUCAAUUUUUCCGUUCCCACCCACCCUACUACCCCUCCACCCCCAUCCCCACCCCCUGCAAAAAAAAUNNNNNNNNNNNNNNNNNNNNNNNNNNNNNNNNNNNNNNNNNNNNNNNNNNNNNNNNNNNNNNNNNNNNNNNNNNNNNNNNNNNNNNNNNNNNNNNNNNNNNNNNNNNNNNNNNNNNNNNNNNNNNNNNNNNNNNNNNNNNNNNNNNNNNNNNNNNNNNNNNNNNNNNNNNNNNNNNNNNNNNNNNNNNNNNNNNNNNNNNNNNNNNNNNNNNNNNNNNNNNNNNNNNNNNNNNNNNNNNNNNNNNNNNNNNNNNNNNNNNNNNNNNNNNNNNNNNNNNNNNNNNNNNNNNNNNNNNNNNNNNNNNNNNNNNNNNNNNNNNNNNNNNNNNNNNNNNNNNNNNNNNNNNNNNNNNNNNNNNNNNNNNNNNNNNNNNNNNNNNNNNNNNNNNNNNNNNNNNNNNNNNNNNNNNNNNNNNNNNNNNNNNNNNNNNNNNNNNNNNNNNNNNNNNNNNNNNNNNNNNNNNNNNNNNNNNNNNNNNNNNNNNNNNNNNNNNNNNNNNNNNNNNNNNNNNNNNNNNNNNNNNNNNNNNNNNNNNNNNNNNNNNNNNNNNNNNNNNNNNNNNNNNNNNNNNNNNNNNNNNNNNNNNNNNNNNNNNNNNNNNNNNNNNNNNNNNNNNNNNNNNNNNNNNNNNNNNNNNNNNNNNNNNNNNNNNNNNNNNNNNNNNNNNNNNNNNNNNNNNNNNNNNNNNNNNNNNNNNNNNNNNNNNNNNNNNNNNNNNNNNNNNNNNNNNNNNNNNNNNNNNNNNNNNNNNNNNNNNNNNNNNNNNNNNNNNNNNNNNNNNNNNNNNNNNNNNNNNNNNNNNNNNNNNNNNNNNNNNNNNNNNNNNNNNNNNNNNNNNNNNNNNNNNNNNNNNNNNNNNNNNNNNNNNNNNNNNNNNNNNNNNNNNNNNNNNNNNNNNNNNNNNNNNNNNNNNNNNNNNNNNNNNNNNNNNNNNNNNNNNNNNNNNNNNNNNNNNNNNNNNNNNNNNNNNNNNNNNNNNNNNNNNNNNNNNNNNNNNNNNNNNNNNNNNNNNNNNNNNNNNNNNNNNNNNNNNNNNNNNNNNNNNNNNNNNNNNNNNNNNNNNNNNNNNNNNNNNNNNNNNNNNNNNNNNNNNNNNNNNNNNNNNNNNNNNNNNNNNNNNNNNNNNNNNNNNNNNNNNNNNNNNNNNNNNNNNNNNNNNNNNNNNNNNNNNNNNNNNNNNNNNNNNNNNNNNNNNNNNNNNNNNNNNNNNNNNNNNNNNNNNNAUGCAUUUAUGUUAAUAUGUUUUAUGUUUUAUACUUUUAGUUUGCAAAUUUUAGACUUUUAGUUUGUUUUUUUAAUUCUAACCCUUAAAAGUUUAAUUCUAAUCUUUAAUUUUAACCCUUAAAAGUUUGAAAACACUUAAGUGCUUAACUAUCAAUAACAUUGAAAAAGAAAAAUAUAAGAUAGUUAAAAAUAAAAAAAAUAAAAACGAAAGCCCGACCCGCCCGAACCCGCUAGGCCCGAACCCGUACGGGCCCUAUAGGACCCGAAAAAUCCCAGCCCGUUAACUCCAGCCCGCUAACAACCCGCCCGUAACCCUAACGGGCUGACCAUUUUUGUGUCCAGCCCGUCCCAGCCCGCCCGAUAAACACCUUUACCCCCAACCCCACAAAAAAGAAAUUUUACUUUCUUUUUGUAAUUUAAUUUCUAUUUUUUUUGUUUUACUGUCCCCCACCCCCAGCCCUGCUCCCUCUCCCAGAAAUAUUUUUUAAAUAUAUUUUUCAGUUUUUAUUUUAUUAUUUAUCAGUUUAAAGGCUCAAAAUUUUGUAAGUUCCAAAAUUAUUAGUUCGGAGGUUUAUGUGUUUGGAAGUUUACGGGUUUAGAAAUUAUAAAAUUUACGGGUUCGAAAUUUUGUGGUUUUUAAAGUUUAGCGGUUCGAAAGUUUAUGAAAUUUGUGGGUUCGAAGGUUAUUGGUUUGAAAGUUUAUGGCUUCAUGUUUAUUAUAUCUUAAUUAUUUAUGAAUACUCUUGAGAAGUCAUUUUCCUUAAUUUGCAUACCAAACACCAGAAAAUGAAUAAGAUUACUACUUGUUUUCCAAGAAAUCAUUUUCUUGGAAAAUAUUUUCGUUAUGCCAAAUACACCCUAUAUGUUUCUUUAUUUUAAGUUAUUUGCAUGAUUGUCAUGUGAAAGUUGCUAAUUUUCAUGUUAAUAGAAUUAAUUGAAAGAAGAAUACUUUUUUUAUGUUGUUCGACAUUUGAAAUUGUGUUAAAGUUAGAAGACAUUUUUGUUCUAGUUAACACCAAAGAUAUACUAAUAAUUUGAAGAAAAAAAUAGUAUUCUUUUCUAUGGAAUUAUCAUUUUAGUGUAUAUAGAUCACAAAUUUGAUAUUAUGUCAAUUUUUAAGAUUCUUUACGCUAUUAUCCUAAUGAUUUCUAAUUAUUUAUCUUCUUUGAUAGUUUUCACUAUGUCAAAUUUGUCAAAGCUUGAGUUUGUGGCACUUGACAUUUCUGAAAAGAAUUACCUAUCAUGGGUUCUCGAUGCUGAGAUUCACUUAGUCGCUAAAGGCCUUGGUGACACCAUUACUCAGGGUAAUGAGGCAUCAGGCCAGGACAAAGCGAAGGCCAUAAUUUUCCUUCGUCAUCAUUUGGAUGAAGGUUUGAAGGUUGAAUAUUUGACAGUGCUAUCCACUUGAAUUGUGGACUGGCCUGAAGGAAUGGUAUGAUCACCUUAAGGCUACGGUAUAGCCAAGGGCUCGAUAUGAGUGGAUGCACUUAUGGUUGCAAGAUUUUAAGACCGUAAGUGAGUAUAACUCUGUUGUAUUAAUAACUUCCCAAUUGAAAUUAUGUGGGGAUGUUAUGAAUGAUGAGGAUUUGUUGGAAAAGACUCUUACGACUUUUCAUAUAUCAAAUAUGGUAUUACAGCAGCAAUAUCGUGAAAGGAGUUUUAAAAAGUAUUCUGAAUUGAUCUUAUGCCUUCUGGUGGUUGAGCAACAUAAUACUUUUUUGCUGAAAAAUUAUGAAGUCCGUCCCACAGGGUCAGCUCCACUUCCUGAAGCGAAUAUGGCAGCUAGACGUGAUAAUUCUUGAAAAAGAUAGAAUAAUAAUCAUGGCGAUAUGAAUGAACGUGGUCAUGGCAAUGGUAAGAGACGAUAUAAUAGUCGUCAUCAUGUGGUCAUGGCAAACGAGAGAAUAAUAUGGGUUCUCAAAACAAUCCUUCAAUAGGCAAAAGCGGUAACUGUCACCGUUGUGGCAUGAAAGGUCAUUGGAAAAUUGAAUGUCGUGCACCUGAGCAUUUUGUCAGGCUUUAUCAAAACUGCAUCAAAAGAAACGCAAAUAAUGUUGGAGCAUCUUCUGCUAAUGCCCCAGUGGAGUCUCACUUGACCGUUAAAAAUAAUUUUGAGGCAGGGCCUUCAAAUAAAAAUGAUGACAAUGCUGAGGCAAAUCUUGCUUUGAAUAAUGAUGAUUUUCAAGGCCUCGAUGAUCUUACUCAUUUGAAAGUUAAAGACUUCUUUGGAGAUCAAAACUAAAGUUUGAUCAUUUUACUGGGGAAUGGAAUUAUCUUGUUAUUUUUAUUUUCAGUGUUUUUUUGUCUCUUCUAAAGUUAUUUUUAUUUUCAAGUAGUACUUAAGUUGUCUUAUGUUGUUGGUGGUGGUGUUAGUUUUUCCAUAUUUCUCAUGGUGUACUUUUAUUUUUAAGAAGAAAAUAAAAUUUUCCAGUUUUCAAUUGAAUUCAAGAUGAGUAAUGAAGAUUUAUGCCGUUUGGAUGGUGUUACAACUCACACAAUAUUAAGAGAAAAGAAAGUUUUCUCUUAUUUGGUUAUGAAAAAUGCCUAUGUUAAUACAAUAUCUGGUAGUACAAAGUUAAUUGAGGGCUCUGGAAGAGCGGCCUUAUUACUACCUGGAGGAACGAUAUUAACUAUUGAUAAUGCAUUAUAUUGUAGUAAGUCUCAAAGAAACUUGUUGAGUUUCAAAGCUAUUCGCCAAAAUGGGUACCAUGUUGAGACCUCAAAUGAAGGAAAUGUUGAAUACCUUUAUAUUACUACAAUAAAAGUGGGUAAAAAAUAUGUGCACGAAAAAUUACCCGCAUUUUCUUCUAGGUUGUACCACACAAAUAUUGGUGUGGUUGAAUCACAUGCCAUAGUAAACAAAAGGUUUACUACUUCUAAUGAUUUUAUCAUUUGGCAUGACCGGUUGAGCCAUCCCGGUUCUAACAUGAUGCGCAGAAUAAUAGAGAAUUCAAAUAGACACACAUUAAAGAACAAGAAGAUUCUUCAAUUUAAGAAAUUCUCUUGUGCUGCUUGUUAUCAAGAAAAAAUGGUUAUUAAACUAUCAACAACUAAAGUUGGGAUUGAAUCCCCUGCAUUUCUGGAACAUAUACAGGGUGAUAUAUGUGGGUCUAUACACCCUCCAUGUGGACCAUUCAAAUAUUUUAUGGUCUUGAUAGACACAUCUACAAGAUGGUCACAUGUAUGCUUAUUGUCAACUCGUAAUAUGACAUUUGCGAGAUUGUUGGCCCAAAUAAUAAGGUUAAGAGCACAAUUUUCAGAUUAUAAAAUAAUGACAAUUCGUCUUGAUAAUGCUGGUGAAUUUACAUCUCAGGCCUUUACAGAUUAUUGUAUGGCCACUGAAAUAAAAGUUGAGCAUCCGGUUGCUCAUGUUCAUACUCAAAAUGGUCUAGCAGAAUCAUUGAUUAAACGCCUCCAACUAAUAGCUAGACCAUUGCUAAUGAGGAUAAAACUUCCCCUUUCAUUGUGGGGACAUGCUAUUUUGCAUGCAGCAGCAUUUGUGAGCAUAAGACCAAUUAGUUAUCAUAAAGUCUUCCCAUUACAGUUGACUUUUGGUCAGGAGUCAAAUAUUUCUCAUCUAAGAAUUUUUGGAUGUGCGGUAUAUGUUCUAAUUGCUCCACCACAACGCACAAAGAUGGGUCCCGAAAGAAGGUUGGGAGUAUAUGUUGGUUAUGAAUCUCCUUCUAUUAUUAAAUAUCUGGAGCAUAUGAUAGGAGAUUUGUUUAUAGCCAGAUUUGUUGAUUGCCAUUUUGAUGAAUCAGUUUUUCCAACAUUAGGGGGAGAAAAUAAAUAGCUGGAAAAAGAGAUAGAUUGGAACGUAUUAUCUCUAUCUCAUUUGGAUCCUCGUACAAAUGUGAACAAGAAGUUUAAAAGAUCAUUUAUAUGCAAAAUGCUGCAAAUCAAUUGCCGGAUGCAUUUACUAACCUUCCACGUGUUACUAAAUCGCAUAUUCCAGGUGUAAAUGCUCCAAUUCAAGUUGAUGUCCCAGCUGGACAGUAUGAUAAUGCAAAUGAGUCUAGUCCACGCCUUAAACGUGGUAGACCAAUUGGUUCCAAGGAUAAGAAUCCCCGAAAAAGGAAAGGAGCAAAUGAUCAAGUUGAUUAUAACAUAAAGGCAAUUGCUCAAGAGGAGCAUAAAGAUAUAAUAAUUGAUAAGACCUCACAGGAGGUUCUAGUACCUGAAAAUGAUGAAAAUGAAGAGAUCUCAAUAAGUUAUGUCUCUACGGGAAAAAGGUGAAACCGGAAUAAUAUUGUUGAUGACCAUAAUUUUGCAUAUAGCGUUGCAGAUGAAGUAAUGCAACAAGAUGAGGAUCUUGAGCCAAAAUCUGUCGAUGAAUGUAGACAAAGAAAUGAUUGGCCAAAAUGGAAAAAUGCAAUUCAAGCGGAAUUAGUUUCACUCAAAAAACGUGAAGUUUUCGGGCCAAUAGUCCGAACGCCUGAAGGUGUCAAGCUAGUGGGAUACAAAUAAGUUUUUGUGCGAAAACGAAAUGAGAAAGGUGAAGUCGUAAGAUAUAAAGCACGACUUGUGGCACAAGGGUUUUCGCAGAGGCCUGGCAUUGAUUAUAUGGAGACAUAUUCACAUAUGGUAGAUGCAAUUACCUUCAGGUAUCUAAUAAAUCUGGCAGUCCAUGAAAAGCUUGAUAUGCGGUUGAUGGAUGUUGUCAUAGCCUACUUAUAUUGCUCACUGGACAAUGAAAUUUUUAUGAAAUUCCAUGAAGGAUUUAAAGUUCCUGAAGCACAUAAAAGUUCAAGAGAACCUUGUUCAAUAAAGCUUCAGAAAUUCUUGUACAUAUUGAAGCAAUCAGGGAGGAUGUAGUACAAUCACCUUAGCGAGAAUUUGCUAAAGGAAGGGUACAAAAAUGACCUUAUUUGUCCUUGUGUCUUUAUUAAGAGGUCUGUAUCUGAAUUUGUCAUCAUAGUUGUAUAUGUUGAUGACUUGAAUAUCAUUGGCACUUCUAAAGAGCUUUCAAAGGUUGUAGAAUGUUUGAAGAAAGAAUUUGAAAUGAAAGAUCUUGGUAAGACAAAAUUUUAUCUUGACCUACAAAUUGAGCAUGUACCAAAUGGAAUUUUUGUCCAUCAAUCAACAUACACUGAAAAAAUUUUAAAGCAAUUUUACAUGGAUAAUGCACAUCUCUCGAGUACCCCAAUGUUUGUUAGAUCGCUUGACAUAAAUAAAGAUCCAUUUCGGCCUCAAGAAAAUGAUAAAGAGCUCGUUGGUGAUGAAACUCCAUAUCUUAGUGCAAUUGGGCACUGAUGUAUCUUGCCAACAAUACCCGACCAGAUAUUGCUUUUGUAGUAAGCUUAUUAGCAAGAUUCAGCUCCUCCCAACAAGAAGACAUUGGAAUGGUGUUAAGCAUAUAUUUAGAUAUCUUCGGGGAACUAUAGAUAUGGGAUUGUUUUAUUCUAAUGAAUUCAAGUCAGAAAUGACUGGCUAUGCCGAUGCAGGUUAUUUGUCUGAUCCACAUAAAUCCCGAUCUCAAACAGACUAUUUGUUUACAUAUAGAGGUUCAACUAUAUCAUGGCGUCAGCAUAUUCAGGAAAUGUAUGGUUUUCCUAUGAAAACAGAUAAUCCAACUACACUAUAUGAAGACAAUGUUGCUUGCAUUGCUCAACUGAAAGGAGGAUACAUCAAAGGAUACAGAACAAAGCAUAUUUCACCAAAGUUCUUUUUCAUGCAUGAUCUUCAAAAAAAUGGUGAAAUAAAUAUUCAACAGAUUCGUUCAUGUGAAAAAUUUUCUGAUCUGUUCACCAAGGCAUUACCAACCUCAACAUUUGAGAAGUUGGGACAAAAGAUUGGAAUGCGCCGUCUUCGGGAAAUAAAGUGAUGUUUUCAUGAGGGGGAGUAAGAUACGUGUUGUACUCUUUUUCCCUUAGCCUAUGUUUUGUCCCACUGGGUUUUUGUGGUAUGGUUUUUAACGAGGUAACAAAUAAAGCGUAUUACAGAUAUGUGUUCCUUCACUAAGAUUUUCCCACAUGAUUUUUUCUUAGUAAGAUUUUAACGAGGCAUAUUAUCUAUUUUUGGACACCCAGGGGGGAGUGUUGUAAAACUUAUAGUUAAUGUAGAUGUCCACUACUCCCACUAUUUUCACCCAUGAUGUGAAUAACCUUCACUACUCAUCACUAUUAUGAUUGUAACUCUCACACCUCCAUAACCUCUCCCUAUGAUCUUCCCCCAUGAUCUCAAUUGUUAAUGUCAUGUUUCAGACAAUCAUUUUGUAACCUUCAUAUGUAAUAGUAUAAAUAGAGGCAUGAAAUGUGAGAUGGAAUACACUUGAACGCUUGAUGAAAUAAGAAAGUUAUCUCUUCUUCUCUUAUUCUACUUAUCUUCUUGUUUUAUAUUGUUACUUUGAGCUACAUUUCUUAAUAUAUUAAUUUAUUCCAAGUGGUUUAUGUAUGGAAUUCAGCCUCAAGCUUUCUUAAGAUGGAUGUCAAGUCUGAAUCCAAUAAAGGCGCCACUAAAUAAAACCUAAUUAACAAAUGCAUGUUUUGUUUUAUAUAUCUCCAUUCCGAAUUUCAUAAGGAAAAAGGUUUAUUUGUCAAUUCAAAUAGGACGUGAAUGAGAUAUUUGAAAGUACAAGAGGGGGGGUGAAUUGUUGCCUAAUUAAAAUUUAGUCGACUAAUAUGGAUAUUAGUUGACUAACCACGAGACAGAAAGAGUAAAAGCAGUAAAGAGCAAUAGUAAGACACACACGAUUUAUACUGGUUCGGUACCGUUGUGGUACUUACAUCCAGUUCCCUUGGGUCAUAAGGGUUCCCUUAAGAUCUUUGAAUAAAUUUACAUGAUUUAUGGUAUUUUUGUGUUUACCAUCAACAUUUAGAAUCACCAGUUGAGUUCUAAUCAAGUGACACAACUUUCUUUUGUACUCUAGAUCUCUAUAUCUUUUGAGACGCUGAUAACUCAGAAUUACAGUAUUUGAACUAAGAAGUAGACAGAUUUGGAACUCUUUUUGUAGUUGCGUGGUCUUCUUCUUGAGAGAGUAGCCUUUUAAUACUAGAGAAAAGAUCCAUUAAAUCCUUUUUGAAACGAGAGGCAUAAGAUCUUUAAUUAAGGGAUUUGAUCCAAGAGAUGCCUCUUUGAAUCUUGCUCUUUGACUGGCCCAGAUUCGAAUGUGACCUUCCUUGUCACAGCUGAAUUCAAGGAGUGAUUAAUUAGUGAGUAUGUUCUUCGAAACUCGAAUGAUCAAGAUUGUAAAUCUGAGUUCCCUUGAUUGAGUCAAUCUGCUUCUUGAUUGACCAUUAAUGUUUGUAACUGAAUCUUCAUUCAAUCUUUGAGUAGGGACGAGUCAAGCUGCCUCUUAAUGAUCAUUAAUGCAGUAACUAAUUCUUACUUCCUCCUUUAUUUUGAAACUUGUAGCAAUCUUGCUAAUCAUUUUCAUUAUUUUCUUUUUGUUUGCCUUGAAAAUAUAACAUAGGAUAAUAUUGUCAUCAUUGAAAAUUAACUUAAAACCUAUCAAUCUCCCCCUUUUUGAUGAUGACAAUCAAGAAGGAGUAAACAAUUUUAAAGAAACUUAAGAUACUUCCCUUUAGGAGUUGCUCCCCCUAAGCUAGUGCUUCCCGUGAAUUGAAUUAUUCCUAUGUUUGGAAAGUUGUGCUCAUGUCUCCCCCUAAGUGUUUACUCACAUUUUUUCUCCCCCUUUGACAUUAAUCAAAAAGGAAAGAGUAACAUAACAUAUAGAAACACAACACAGAGCAAUAUAAUAAACAUACUAAAGGGGUUAGAGCAAUAGAGGCUUAAGUUAGUACAGCCCAAAAGAUAAUAGUCUAAAAACCACAAAAAACAUAAGUUGUUUGUCAAAAACAGCCAAAUAUAAUUAAUGACGUCCCAUAAAGUAUUUGAGGGUGUUGAUCACUUUGGUGCAGAAGGAGUCAUAGGAGUUGUCAACAUCCUUGACAAGCUUGUCCAUUUUUUCAGCCAUGGAAUUGAAGGCCCUUGUUCCCUGUCUCCUUAUAGCCCUUAUGUAUAUAUGUAGCUUUGCUACAUCUGAACCUGUCUCCUUAGUGACUUCUCUGAUUUUAUCUACCUGUUCUUUCAUUCCCACCAGUAGCAACUUGACUUUAUAAAGGUGUUGUUGAAUGUGUGGAAGACUCUAGGAGGUAGUCAACUGAGGGACUGGUUGAUCAACUUGAACAUCUACCGGAGCUGGAGAACUUUCAACCUUGGCCCUUUUAACCCAUCCAUUUUCACCCAAUGAGUAACCCAUCAUAGAGAAAAUAGUUUUGUCAUAGGUACUGGAGAUGUGUUUGGGGGUAAAGGGUGCUAAAUCAACCUUCAUAACUUCCAGAAUAUGAGAGACAAGAAUGUCAUAGGGUAGACAAGCAGCAGAAGAGGAAAUAUCCCUGAUACUCUCAAGCAUAUAUUGACGAAUCCACACAAACCAAUUAAGACGCUUGUUGUUGACCAGAUAGUAGAGUACAAAGACAUCUCUAGUAGACAACGGACUUAGGGACCCAGACCUGGAAAGUAAAGUAGUGGCAAUCAUAUGGGCCAAAACCCGGUGUUCAAAUUUUAAAUUUUUGGGGCCAAUGUCAGGGGGAUUAUCAGACAAGAAGGUUUUUGCUUCUUCAAGAGAUAUGUCAAAGUCUUUGGGCCAAGAAUUUUGGACAAACGCAUCAUACCCACUAAAUUUGGCAGAAAAGAUCUUUUUAAAUUGGUAGGAGUCCAACACAAUUCUAGUACCUAAGAUCAUAGACUCUAAGUCAUCCUUAUCAUUCACAAACAGACUUGCAUAAAACAUUCUCACAGGUUCUUCAUACACAGAAUUUCCAAGAGUGUUAAACACAGGGAAAAAGUGCUAGAAAUCAAAAAUUUCAGUCACAUCACAAUGAAGACUUUGCAUAAGAGAGAGAAUUACACAUCGUCCAUAAGCCAUGGAUUUUGACUUAUAGGACUCAAACCUUGCUUUUUUCACUGGGGCCAUAAAAGAUUAACUUAUCUUUUGGACCAAAAUCCAAGCGUUCUAUCUUGCCCUUUUUGCAUGAAGCCUUUUUGGGGGUUUGCUCCAUAGGUCGUUUUCCGGCCUUUUUCUAGCUAAUGGGUUGAUUUUCAGAUGAGGUACUGCUAUCAUUAUCAGUCUUGAGAAGGUCUGAAUUAGUAAACGAUUCUACAUCCACCGUUCCUUCUGUAUUGAGAGGUUUUUGAAACCUAUGGCUUCGCCUGGUUGCAGAAGAAGGGUUUCUUUUGGCCAUGGAGAAAUCGGAAGGGUGUUUGGUAAGGAAUGAGGAAGGUGUUUUGGAAGAUGGAGGUUUUUUUAUCAAGGAUUUGAGAUAAGUGAAGAGGCAUCUUGGUUAUCGGAAGGGCCAAAUACAGACGGAAGUGAUGGUUCUGAAUGACAGCAAGUAAUAAUUACACUUUCACAGCAAAAUUAAUUAGUACACGGAUAAUUAAGGAAAUAAAAUAUACUGAAAACAUAUAGAAUAAUUUAACUAAUUAAACAAGCAACUGGUUUACAAAUUUGGCAGAAUGCCAAUCUUUUUUCGAAGGAUACAAAAUCUUUCUUCUAAAAGAGGUUUAGUAAAAAUAUCCGCAAGUUGCGAAUCAGUGCUAAUGAAUUCUAAUGAAAUAUCACCUUUUGCAACAUGAUCACAAAUAAAAUGAUGUUUAAUUUCUAUAUGCUUCGCUCUAGAAUAAUGCACAGAAUUUUUAGAUAGACAGAUAGCACUGGUGUUGUCACAAAAAAUAGGAGUAGCAGUAAGACAUAAAUCAUAAUCAAGGAGUUGAUGCAUGAUCUAUAAAACUUGUGUACAACAACUUCCAACAACUAGGUAUUCUGCUUCAGUUGUUGAAAGAGCAACACAAUUUUGUUUCUUGCUGUACCAAGAUACUAAGGCAUUUCCCAGUAAUUGACAUGUCCCACUGGUACUUUUCCUAUCAGUUUUGUCUCCUGCAAAAUCAGCAUCUGAAAAGCCUCUUAAAGAGAAAUUGUUAAAAUGAUAAUACCAUAGGCCAAAUUCAGUAAUACCAAUUAAAUAUCAAAUAAUGCGUUUAACAGUAGUCAAAUGUGAUUCCUUAGGAGCUGACUGAAAUCUAGCAUAGUUACAUACACUAAACAAAAUAUCUGGUCGACUAGUAGUUAAAUAAAGUAGAGAUCCAAUCAUUCCUCUAUACAUGGUUUCAUCAACCAUUUUUCCAUUACUGUCAUCAUCUAGCAUAGUAAUUGGACUCAUAGGAGUACCAAUAGCCUUAGCAUUUUCCAUUCCAAAUUUUUUGAUAAGCUUCUUGGUGUAUUUAGAUUGGUUGAUAAGGAUUCCUUUAGGAGACUGCUUGAUUUGAAGUCCAAGGAAGAAGGUUAGUUCUCCCAUCAUGCUCAUCUCAAAUUCACCUUUCAUGGAAAGAGCAAAUUCUUCACAAAGAGUAGUGUUAGGGCUUUCAAAAAUAAUAUCAUCAAUGUAAAUUUGAGUAAUGAGAUUACUAAAAUUUGAUUGCUUAAUAAAAAGAGUUGUAUAUAUGUUACCUCGUUUGAAACCUUGAUUCAAAAGAAAAGAACUUAACCUUUCAUACCAAGCUCGUGGAGCUUGUUUGAGACCGUACAGGGCUUUAGUAAGCUUGUGUACAUGGUUUGGAAGAGUGGCAUUUGCAAAUCCAGGAGGUUGCUUUACGUAUACUUCUUCAGAUAUAAAACCAUUUAGGAACGCACUUUUGACAUCCAUCUGAUACAAUUUGAAUCCUUUGUGGGCGGCAAAGGCAAGUAGAAUUCUGAUGGAUUCAAGUCUUGCCACAGGUGCAAAGGUUUCAUCAUAGUCGAUUCCUUCUUAUUGAAAGUAACCUUGAGCCACUAGUCUUGCUUUAUUUCGAACUACUUCGCCUGAUUCAUUCAAUUUGUUUCUGAACACCCAUUUAGUCCCAACAAUAGAAGAGUUUUGGGGUUUUGGAACUAAUUCCCAGACUUUGUUUUUCUCAAACUGAUCUAAUUCUUCUUUCAUAGCGUUGAUCCAAUGUGAAUCUUUUAGAGCUUCAUCAAUCUUCUUGGGCUCAAUUUGAGAAAUGAGAGCUACAUGAGACUUGUUCUUUUGUGAUCUCCUUUGUAGUUAUUCCUUCCCGUGGAUCUCCAAUAACGAAUUUGUACGGAUAUCCUGGUUCGUUCCUCUAUUCAUUUGGAGUAUUCCCAGAAGAUAUGUUAGUCGACUGAUCUGGUUGAGAUAAGUCAUGAUUUUUUGAAGGUGCUUCAGCUGGUAGAUUCUAUUGAUUAGCUGACUCAAUUUGAUGAUAUUUUCCUAUAAUAACAGAUUUUGAAGCACACAAAAUUUCCUCAUCUUCAGGAACAUGCUCAUUCCUUAGGCGAGGGUUAGUAUCAAUAAAAAUAACAUGAACAGAUUCUUCAAUGCAUAAGGUUCUCUUAUUGUAAACUCUGUAAGCUCUACUAGAGGGAGAGUAACCAAGAAAUAUACCUUCAUCACUCUUCGGAUCAAACUUUCCUAGAUUAUCCUUACCAUUGUUAUGAACAAAAUAUUUGCAUCCAAAAGGGUGAAAGUAGUUGAUGUUUGGUUUCUUACCAUUCCAUAGUUCAUAGGGAGUCUUUUUGAGAAUAGGACGAAUGAGACAUCUAUUGAUAAUAUGAUAUGUUGUACUUACAUCUUCUGCCCAGAAAUGGUGAGGUAAAUAGUUCUCCACUAUCAUCGUUCUUGCCAUAUUCUGCAAGGUUCUGUUUUUUCUCUCUACUACACCAUUCUGCUGAGGAGAUCUUGGUGAAGAGAAAUUAUGAGAGAUUCCUUUAUCAUUGCAGAAAUUUUCAAAUGCUCUGCUUUCAAACUCUCCUCCAUGAUCACUUCUGAUUGUAGAGAUGUAAUAACCUUUCUCACGUUGAACCUUCUUACAAAAGACUUCAAAAUUCCUUAAGGCAUCAUCUUUAUGACUAAGAAAUGUAACCCAUGUAAAUCUAGAAAAAUUAUCUACAAUAACAAAAGCAUAUUUCUUACCUCCAAUACUAGCAGUUCUAGUGGGGCUAAAUAAAUCCAUAUGCAGUAGUUGAAGAGGUUUAGAUGUAGAAACAAUGUUUUUAACUUUGAAAAAGGAUCGAGUUUGUUUUCCUAAUUGACAUGCAUCACAGAUAUGACCUUUUGAAAAAUCCAGUUUUGGAAGACCAAUGACAAGGUCAUGUUUUGAAAGUUUUUGAAUGGUGUGCAUGCUUGCAUGCCCAAGUUUCCUAUGCCAAACCCAGGGAUCUUCAAUUAUAGAAGAAAGACAAAUUUGAUCCUCAAAGUUUUCUAGGUUUUUGAUAGUAUAGACAUUUUUGUCCCUAUUUCCAGAGAGAAUAAUAUUACCUGAUUCAUCUUCUAUGAACCAGCCAUGUUUCUUAAAACGAACCUCAUAAUAUUGUCACAUAGUUAACUGAUGCUGAGAAGAUUGUACCCGAGUUCAUCCACUAAGUAAACUCCAUCCACGUCACAUGUAGAGCUUAAAGGAACCUUUCCAACACCAAUAACAUUUCCUUUGGAUUUGUCACCAAAUGUAAUUGUUCCUCCAUCUAGCUUGGUGACUGAUUUGAACAAUUGUUUGUCACCCGUCAUAUGUCUGGAACACGCGCUGUCGAGAUACCAUUUUUCUUUUCGACUCUUCUUGCGGUGUUCCUGCAAAACAAAAUUACUUAUUUUUAGGUACUCAAGCCUACUUGGGUCCUGACUGGUUAGAUUUUUAGUUUGAUUUGAAGAUUUUGGUCUCCAAAUACACAUCCUGUUAUUUUUGAACCUGCAAUGAUUUGAGGCGUGACCUCUUUUGCCACAGUAGGUGCAAGGUGAGAUGUUGAAGUUUAUAGAAUUAUUCUCAGCUCUAAUUCUGUUCCUGCAAUUGUUAGUGCUAUGCCCAUUUUUACCACACAAGGAGCACGCUAUUUUAUUUCUAAUAGGAACAUUUUGAACUGAACUAGAACUUGAAGAUUUUUGUAGACUAUUCAAUUAAAGCCUGAGUUCGUUUACUUCUUCUUGAAGUAUAUCACGUUCAACUUCGCAUAUUUCUAGUUUCAGGGCCCAAUCCUUCUUUUCUCUUUCUCUUUCUCUUUUGACUUUUCUGAGUUCAUUUACUACUCUUUCAAUGUCUACAAGAGCAAUAUCAACAAAUUCUUGAAGUUCAUAACAAGAUGGACAUAAAGGAGUACGUACCUCACUAGUUCCUUCAUCCAACGGUGAAUAGGGUCUUUCUUGAAUCAUCUUUUUCUUUAUUGUUGUCUAUUAUUAGUGCAAGUUUAUCUGGUUCUUCAUUGUCGCUAAGAUCCAUAAAACACAUAUUGGCAAUUUCCUUAUGAUCAGAUUCCUCCUCAUCGCUCCAUGCUCCAAAAGCUUUUUUCUUUUGCACGUUCUUGCUAAGCUUCCUUUUUAAUUCAAGAUAGUCAGCUUGGACGUGUCCGAUCUUUCCACAUUCGUAACAUCUUCCAUCAUUUUUAUCUAUUUCAUUUCUCGCCCUUCCUUUUCUGAAAUUAAACUUACCUCUUAUGCAAUUUUUGUUUCUUCUCAUCAUGUUGGUCACAACUUGCGAGAGCAUUGCAAUGUUUUCAUCUUGUUCUCCUCCUUCUACUUCAUCUUCAUUUUCAGGUUCAGCCAUAGUUGCCUUGAAAGCAACGGUUUUCUUUUUCUCUUGAAUUUGUCUAUCAAGAUGAGUUUUCUCAAAAGCGAUCAAGCCACCUCUAAGUUCAUCAUAGGAGAUUUUGUCCAGGUCUUGACAUUCUAGGGCGAUAACUUUUGGUUGACAAAUUGUAGGUAGACUUCUGAGGAUCUUUCUAACCUGUUUGCCACUUUUAAUAGGUCUUCCAAAUGAUUUGAGGUCUCCAAGGAUUUUGCUGAAUCUGGAAAACAUUUCUUCAACAGAUUCUCCAUCCUUCAAUUGGAAUAAUUCAUAUUCCAUAACCAGGAGAUUUAUUCUAGUCUCUUUUACUUUGUUGGUUCCUUCAUAAGUGACUUCCAGUUUAUCCCACAUUUAUUUUGCAGUCUCACAACUGAAUAUUUUUUUAGAUUCUUCUCCACUGAUAGCGUUGUAUAGUAGAUUUUUUGCUUUUGCAUUCACAGUGAUGACAACAACUUGUUCAUCAGUGUAAUCGUCCAAAUUCAGAGGAUCAGUUGAUGUGAUGAUUUCACCAUUUGCAUUUUUCGUUGGAGGAAUUGGAAGAUUUCCCUUUUUUAUCACACGCCAUACUUUGAUGUCGUAUGACAUGGUGUAUGUUUCCAUGUGAACUUUUUAAUGUGAAAAAUGCUGACCAUUGAAGUAAGGAGGUCGAACCUGAGAGGUUCCUUCUUGAAAGAGAGUAUCGACGACAGUGUUAGAUCCCAUUGAUCUUUUUCUCACUAGCACUAAAACACAGAUUGUGAGCCUUACUCUAAUACCAAUUAAAAGUACAAGAGAGGAGUGAAUUAUUGCCUAAUUAAAAUUUAGUCGACUAAUAUGGGUAUUAGUUGACUAACCACGAGACAGAAAGAGUAAAAGCAGUAAAGAGCAAUAGUAAGACAGACACGAUUUAUACUGGUUCGGUACCAUUGUGGUACUUACAUCAAGUUCCCUUGGGUCACAAGGGUUACCUUAAGAUCUUUGAAUAAAUUUACACGGUUGAUGGUAUCUAAUCAAGUGACACAACUUUCUUUUGUACUCUAGAUCUCUCUAUCUUUUGAGACACUAAUAACUCAGAAUUACAGUAUUUGAACUAAGAAGUAAACAAAUUUGGAACACUCUUUUUGUAGUUGCAUGGUCUUCUUCUUGAGAGAGCAGCCUUUUUAUACCAGAGAAAAGAGCCGUUAAAUCUUUUUUGAAACGGGAGGCAUAAGAUUUUUAAUUAAGGGAUUUGACCCAAGAGAUGCCUCUUUGAAUCUUGCUCUUUGACUGACCCAAAUUCGAAUGUGACCUUUCUUGUCACAGCUGAAUUCAAAGAGUGAUUAAUUAGUGAGUGUGUUCUUCGAACCUGGAAUGAUCAAGAUUGGUAAUCUGAGUUCCCUUGAUUGAGUCAAUCUGCUUAUUGAUUAACCAUUAAUGUUUGUAACUGAAUUUUCAUUCAAUUCUUGAUUAGGGACGAGUCAAGCUGCCUCUUAAUGAUCAUUAAUGCAGUAACUAAUUCUUCCUUCUUCCUUUAUUUUGAACCCAGUAGCAAUCUUGCUAAUCAUCUUCAUUUUUUCCUUUUUGUUUGCUCUGAAAAUAUAACAUAGGAUAAUAUUGUCAUUAUUAAAACUUAAACUUAAAAUCUAUCAGUAUUAGCGGUCACUUAGCUUGUGAAAUAUAAUAUGUAGCAAUCAAAGAUAGGCAAGGCUUAAAAGCAAAAGAAUGACAGAUACACACAAUUAAUUACUUUUAGUGAAGAUCUCUUAUUCCAGCUCACUAAUGACAGCCCGUAAAGGAAAAGUCGCUAAAGAUUUUUGUAUUUUUAAUAUAACAUAAAUAAACAAAUGGUGCAUUUUAGCAGGAAAAAAUAUAUGAGAGCAAAUAGUAGGCAAAAUAAAAAGGAGGAGGUGCUCGACUUUGAAUUGAGCAUGAUGGAGUUACGCCUAGUUUUUUCCUUUAGAAAACAGGUUUAGAUGUAAUCCUACAGUCAUAUCGAUAAUUAAGAUUAAUUUUCUAUUUUUUAUAUAAAUAUUUGAAAUCUAUCAAACUGAACCUAAAAAAAAACUUUAUCUAUAAAAUAUAAGCAUACAAAAUAUUGAUCUCUUCAUCCGUGGAAAGUAGCAGUUCUCUCUAUCUCAUUCAUUUUAUGAGUGUUCUCAAAAAAACUUUUUUAGGUGAAAGAACGCAGAGAGGUUAGGAUGUUAAUAUUUUAAAUGGAUAACUUACGAGACCUCCCUCUAGGUUUCGCUCCAUUACAUUAACUUUCUUUGUGGUUUACGAUAUUACAGUUACCUCUUGCAUUUUUUUGUAACCUUUCUUUAAAUUAACUGUGAUAUACAAAAUUUGCCCCUAUUAAUUUCUUCUAAUUAAUCGACACUAUAAAAAAAAUCUUACUUAACAAAUGCUCUAAAAAUAAACCGACACAAAUAAGUAAUAAUGUGUUUUAUGUGUGAUAUCAACAAAUCCAUCUUCUUUAAGAUGCUUCUUACCUGAACCCAGUUCCCAGCCAUCUAAUAGCCACAUUAGGCAUUUCUAUUACAUUGUCAAAAAAUUUCUGGCAUCAUUCUGCUAUGUACAAAUGGAAUCCUGUCUCGACGUUUCCUUUUUUUUUUUUUUUUUGUUCUUAUUCCUCUUCUAUUUCCUGUAGUGAUCUGCUUUCUCAUUUCAUUAUACGUCUGUUGUGGAUCAUCGUUUACGGUCUUCUUCUUAUAGUUUCAAGCCAUUUUGAGAUUUUCACCCUGCUGUAGGCAUAAAUUUGGCGAGCUGCGGUGAGCAUCCAAAGUCGCAAGCUAUUAGGACUUUGCCUUGGAAUGGAAAGUUACUACUCAUUGGUUGAUUAUGCUACUUAUUUGUGUUGGCUCAUAUUUAGGAAAUUUGUUAAGCAAGAUUUUUUUAUUGUGUUCAUUAAUUGGAAGAAAUUAAUAGGGUCAGAUAUGUCAUAUUAUAUUUAAUUUAAAGAAUGGUUAUAAGAAAAUGCAAAUAAGGGAGAUAACCAUAAUAUUUUAAAUCACAAGGAAAGUCAGUCUGAUGUAGCGAAACCUGAAGAGAGGUCUCUGAAAUUGUCCCUAUUUUAAAACUUUUAAAUAAGAUAAUAACAAUUUAAUCGUAAUGAUGAUAUAUAACUUGCACAUUACUUUUUUGAUUUACUGGUUUUGCUCUAUAUUAAUAAAAUUUUGUGAAUUUUUGGUUCUUCAUCGUCAUCAUAUUUUUUUAGUUGCAUAAAAAUCUUCUUAAUAAGAUGAUGAUAGAUGAAAUUAAUGAGCACAGAUAGAUCUAUCGCAUAGUCAGUUCUUUUAUUCUUUUACUAAGUCAUGUGAUUUGAGUUUUUAUUUAUCUUACAUUUUAUAUUUUUAUAUAGCAAUCUAAUAUAUCGACAAUAACCAAAAUAUUUUAAGUAAUGCAUCUAAUGAUGACAUGACAUAUAGGAUACGGCACCCUCUAAAAGUUACAAAAAUACUUUUAAAAUGCAGCGCUUCUCGUUUGAUUUACCAAUUUUAGUCAUUGUUUCAUAAUUAAAAACUGAGAUAUUUUAUAAUUAUUGACAUUCUUAUUUAUAAUUUAAAAAAAAUGUAUUGUACAUGUCACGACCCCAAUUCACCCUCUGUGAAUAUGCCAUGAUGACACCUAGUCUUUACGACUAGGUAAGCCUAACAAUGCUGAAAAUAAACUAACUUGCGAAAUAAAUAAUCAAAACUGAACAACUGGAAGAAAACUGUAUAUAAAAAUGUCGCUCGGCAUAUACAACUCAACAUCACAGAAUCCUACAAUACUAUCCCAAAAUUCGGAAACUCACGGGAACACAAGCUGAAAGAAACGUAGUACAAUGCUCUAACUCCAGAAUGUCUACAACAACAGUAAGAAAGAAGGCUAAAUACUAAAAGAUGGAAUAAGAUAGAGACUUCUCGGUCUGCGGACGCGGCAGAUGUACCUCGAAGUCUCUGAUAGAUCUCCCCGCCUCAAGGGUGAUACGCCUGGGUAGAGGUACUUGGAUCUGUACAUGAAAAACAUGCGCAGAAAGGGCAUGAGUACACCACCGUGGUACUCAGUAAGUGUCAAGCCUAACCUCGAUCGGGUAGUGACGAGGAAGGUCCGGGCCCUACUGAGGUUAAACAUAAUAUAAAGUUUUAACAGUAUGAAAUAGACAAUAUAAAUGAGUACAACAGUGAAAUAAGUCAGGUUAUACAAGACAACAACAAAUAUACAAAGAACAGAGUAACACGAAAUAAGAACAGCUCAAUACCAAUAGCAACAACGAGGAUCUCCCAGGAUACCGUCCUGUAGUCCCUUUCAUCAACUGUCUAGUGGAUCUCCCGGGAUACCGUCCCGUAGUCCAAUCAUCAAUGUGCGGGGAUCUACUGGAACCCCGGUCCGUAGUCCCAAAUGUAAAUACCCAGUACUAGGGAAAUCUACCGGGUGCAUUCCCGUAGUUCCAUAUAACUGUGCAGGAGAAUCUACCGAAAAUCUAACCCGUAGUCCCAAAGUAAACAAACAAUGGGGGGGGGGAGCUACCGGAAUCCCACAUCCGUAGUCCCAAUGUAAAUACGCAGCAACAUCAAGAAGAUAUUUCAGAAAUUAAAUUUCAUAUCAAGGAAAAACAAGUAAUUCUAGCCUAACAUGUUUCACGUAGUGCACUCAAGGCAAUUUAAGUCAACUAAACAUGCUUUUCUAACUAACAACAUGCUAAAUUUGCACGUAUAAUAAAACAUGAAAGGGAACAUGUUAAUAAAUACUUUAAGAAAACCAAAUUUCUAAUAAUUUACACAAGUACGCGGUCGUCACCUCAUGCAAAAGACAAUUAAAUCACCAAAUAUGCAAAUCCUAAGGGGAAGGUCCCCCACACAAGGUUAGACAAGCCACUUACCUCGAACUGGCUCAAAAUCAACUAGAAACCAUGCUUUUGCCAUGAGUAUCCGACUCCAAAUGGACCAAAUCUAUUCAAUUCCAUUUCAUAAUGUAAAUAAUACUUCAAGAAGUUGAUUCUACAAUAAAAUUCUAAGCUAAUACGCGAAAUUAUGUAAAAUGAUCAAAACGCCCCUCGGGCCCACGUCUGGGAAUCGAGUAAAAUUUAUAUUUUUAGAAACCUCUACUCUCACGAGUUCAACCAUACUAAAAUUAUCCAAAUCCGAUGCCAAUUGCCCAACCAAAAUUCAAUAAUUCGGCCUAUGAAGUUUUACCAAUUUUCAUUCAAAAUCCGAAAUUAGAGGAGGAAUUCAUGCUUAAAUUAGUGGGUUACAAGCAAAAAGGAGUUUAGAAUCGUUACUCAAUCGAUAUCUCUGAAAAUUCCUCAAAAUCUCGCUCAAAUCCGAGCUCCCAAGCUUAAGUUUUGAUAAAAAUGGCUAAACCCUCGAUUUUUAAAAUCUUAUAUCUGCUCGGGCGCGUUCUUCUUUGCGAACGCGAGGCUACUAUCGCGAACGCGAUGCGCAAAAGUCCUGCUGGCCAAAUUCCUCUUUUGCGAACGCGAGGCCACUUCGCGAACGCGUAGCUUACACGGGCAGACCUUACGCGAAUGCGUGGACCAUAAUGCGAUCGCGAUGACCAAUGAGCCCUUACCUUCGCGAAAGCGGGACAUCAUCACGAACGCGAAACACAUAACAGCUACUCUACUUCACAAACCUUCACGAACGCGGGAUAGACUUCGCGAACGCGAAGCAUAAUCCUCCCCCAGCACCAGUUCCCCUACGCGAACGCGAGACCCUACUCGUUAACGCGAAGAGGGAAACCAGAACUAGGCUGCUACAGUAUUUUCUGCAAUUCUCUAUGUUCUAAAAAUGACUCGUUGAGCAUUCGAAACACACCCGGGGACCUCAACCAAAAGCACCAACAUAACCUAAAAUAUCAUUCAAACUUGUUCCAACCUUCGGAACGCUACAAACAACACCCAUUCUUCAUCGAAUUCAAGUCUAAAAUUUCAAAAACUCUAUAAAACACACUUUCGAUCAAAAAGUCUAUCAAACCUCGUCCGAAUGACCUGAAAUUUUGCACACACAUCCCUAAUGACAAGAUGAAGCUACUGCAACUCUCAGAAUUCCAUUCUGACCCUCUGAUCAAAAUCUCAUUACCAAACCGGAAACUUCCAAAAUUCAAAUCUUCGGCAUUUCAAGCCUAAAUUAGCUACGGACCUCCAAAACAUGUUCCGGACACGCUCCUAACCCCGAAAUCAGCUAACGGAGCUAAUGUAACCAUUGGAUUUCCAUUCCGAGGCCGUCUUCAUACUUUUCUGACUACGGAUAACUUUCCAACACUUCAGCUCUCAUUUAGGGACUAAGUAUCCCAAAACUCUUCGAAACUCAAAACCGAACAUCCCGGCAAAUCAAAUUAGCAGAAAUAAACUUGGGGAAAGAAGUUAAUAGGGGAUUGGGGCGUUAAUUCUUAAGACGACUGGCCGAGUCGUCACAUCCUCCUACACUUAAACAUCUAUUCGUCCUCGAAUGAGCAUAGAGACAUACUUGAAGUAGUGAAAAGAUGAGGGUAGCGGCUGCGCAUAUCCUGCUCGGUCUCCCAGGUCGCCUCCUCAGCCGGCUGACCCCGCCACUGAACCUUUACUGAGGCAAUGUUCUUUGACCUCAACUUUCUGACCUGCCUGUCCAAUAUAGCCACUGGCUCCUCAACAUAGGAUAGAUCCUUGUCCAACUGGACUGAACUGAAAUCUAACACGUGUGACGGAUCACCAUGAUACCUCUGAAGCAUUGAAACAUGAAAUACCGGAUGAACUCCUACCAAGCUGGGAGGUAAGGCAAGCUCAUAAGCAACCUCCCCAACACGCCUCAAUAUCUCAAAAGGGCCAAUAAAUCUCGGACUCAACUUCUCUUUCUUCCCAAACCUCAAAACGCCCUUCAUAGGCGAAACCCGAAGCAGAACCCGCUCUCCAACCAUAUAGGAAACAUCAUGAACCUUCCGGUCCGCGUAGCUCUUCUGUCUAGACUGGGCUGUACGGAGUCUAUCCUGAAUUACCUUAACCUUCUCCAAAGCAUCCUGAACCAAAUCUGUGCCCAAUAGCCUGGCCUCACCCGGCUUAAACCAACCCACCGGAGAUCUACACCGCCUACCAUAUAAAGUCUCAUACGGUGCCAUCAGAAUGCUGGAAUGAUAGCUAUUGUUGCAAGCAAACUCCGCCAAUGGCAAGAACUGAUCCCAAGACCCUCCAAACUCAAUCACACACGCACGGAGCAUAUCCUCAAGAAUCUGAAUAGUGCGCUCAGACUGUCUGUCCGUCUGAGGGUGAAAUGUUGCACUCAACUCUACUCAAGUGCCCAACUCACGCUGAACGACCCUCCAAAACCGUGAUGUAAACUGAGUACCUCUAUCUGAAAUUAUAGAAACUGGAAUACCAUGCAGACGAACAAUCUCCCGAAUAUAAAUCUCCGCCAACUGCUCCGAAGAAUAGGUAGUACACAUAAGAAUGAAAUGAGUGGACUUGGUCAGCCUAUCCACAAUCACCCAAAUAGCAUCAAACUUCUUCAAGGUCCGUGGUAGUCUAACUACAAAGUCCAUGGUGAUCCGCUCCCACUUCCACUCCGAAAUCUCUAUUUGCUGAAGCAACCCACCCGGUCUCUAGUGCUCAUACUUCACCUGCUAACAGUUGAGGCACCUAGCUACAAACCCAACUAUGUCUUUCUUCAUCUGCUUCCACCAAUAGUGCUGCCUCAAAUCCUGAUACAUCUUCGCGGCACUCGGAUGGAUGGAAUACCGCGAACUAUGGGCCUCCUCUAAAAUCAACUCUCGAAGCCCAUCAAGAUUGGGCAUACAAAUCCGACCCUGCAUCCUAAAUACCUCAUCAUCUCCAAUAGUCACAUCUCUGGCAUUACCGUGCUGAACCUUGUCCUUGAGGACAAGGAAAUGAGGGUUAUCAUACUGCCGCUCCCUAAUACGAUCAAAUAAGGAAGACCAAGAAACUACGCAAGCUAGAACCUGAUUGGGCUCCGAAACAUCCAAUCUCACAAACUGACUACCUAAGGCCUGAACAUCCAUCGCCAUAGGCCUCUGUAAAGCUGGUAAAUAUGCCAAACUCCCCAAACUAUCCACCCGGCGACUCAAGGCGUCAGCCACCACAUUGGCCUUGCCCGGGUGAUACAAAAUAAUGUUGUUAUAAUCCUUCAGCAGCUCUAACCACCUCCUCUGGCGCAAAUUUAGAUCCUUUUGCUUGAACAAAUGCUGCAAGCUCCGAUGGUCAGUGUAAAUCUCACAAGGAACCCCGUAUAAAUAAUGGCGCCAAAUCUUCAGGGCAUGAACAAUGAUAGCUAACUCAAUGUCAUGAACAUGGUAGUUCUUCUCAUGAAUCUUCAACUGUCUGGACGCGUAGGCAAUCACCCUACCGUCCUGCAUCAAUACCGCUCCGAAUCCAACCCUCGAGGCAUCACAAUAGAUUGUAUAAGACCCCGAACCAGUAGGCAAUAUCAAAACUGGGUCUGUAGUCAAAGCUGUCUUGAGCUUCUAAAAGCUCGCCUCACAGUCCUUUGUCCACUAAAAUGGAGCAGCCUUCUGGGUCAAUCUAGUCAUAGGGGCUGCAAUCGAUGAAUACCCAUCUACAAAACGACGUAGUAGCCCGCCAAGCCAAGGAAACUGCGAAUCUCUAUAGCUGAGGAUGGUCUGGGCCAACUCUGCACGACCUCUACCUUCUUCGGAUCCACCCGAAUGCCCUUACUCGAUACCACGUGGCCUAAGAAUGCCACUGAUUCCAACCAAAACUCACAUUUUGAGAACUUCGCAUAUAACUUCUUCUCUCUCAGAGUUUGAAGCACGAUCCUCGUAUGCUGCUCAUGAUCUUCCCGACUCCGGGAAUACACCAGAAUAUCAUCAAUGAAAACAAUGACGAACGAGUCAAGAUAGGGCCGGAACACAUUGUGCAUCAAAUGCAUAGAAGUUGCUGGGGCAUUGGUCAGCCCAAAUGACAUAACAAGGAACUCGUAAUGACCGUACCGAGUCCUAAAAGCUGUCUUCGGGAUAUCUGGCUCCUGAAUCUUCAACUGAUGGUAACCUGAACGCAAAUCAAUCUUAGAAAACACCCGUGCACCCUGAAGCUAGUCAAAUAGAUCAUUAAUACGAGGCAAAGGAUAACGGUUCUUCACUGUAACCUUGUUCAACUGUCGAUAAUCAAUGCACAUAUGCAUAGACCCAUUAUUUUUCUUCACAAACAAGACAGGAGCACCCCAAGGUGAAACGCUGGGUCGAAUAAAGCCUUUAUCAAGCAAUUCCUAUAACUGAUCCUUCAACUCCUUCAACUCAAGAGGAGCCAUACGAUACAGAUGAAUAGAAAUGCGCUGAGUGCCCGGCAACAAAUCAAUGCCAAAAUCAAUAUCUCUAUCAUGCGACAUGCCUGGAAGAUCAGCUGGAAACACAUCGAGAUAAUCCUGUACCACUGGGACUGAAUCAACAGAAGGGAUAUCAAUACUGACAUCUCUCACAUAAGCUAAAUACGCGUCACACCCCUUCUCAACCAUACUGUGAGCUUUAAGGAAAGAGAUAACUCUACUGGGAGUGUGAUCUAAAGUACCACUCCACUCAACACGCGGUAUACCUAGCAUAGCCAACGUCACAGUCUUGACGUGACAAUCAAGAAUAGCAAAAUGGGGUGACAACCAGUCCAUGCCCAAAAUAAUAUCAAAAUCACCAUGCUGAGUAGCAAUAAAUCGGCUCUGGUCUCAAAACCACGAAUAGUAACCAAACACGACCGAUAAACGCGGUCCAUAACAAGAGAAUCUCCCACAGGAGUAGAAACAUAAAUAGGAGAACUCAAAGAAUCUCGGGGUACACCCAAAUGCAGAGCAAAAUAAGAAGACACAUAAGAAUAAGUGGAGCCUAGAUCGAAUAGAACCGAUGCAUCUUUGUGACAAACUAUAACAAUACCUGUGAUAACAGAAUCAGAGGCAACAACUUCGGUACGAGUAGGGAAAAAGACAUAGUAUCUAGCCUGGACUCCUCCUCGAGGGCGACCUCUACCUACCCGACCUCUACCUCUAGCUGGCUGAGCAGGUGGGGCAGCAAUUGGAGCUGUAACCAUAGCCUGAGAACUCUGCGGGGCACGCUGUGGCUGAGAAAUCUGUGAAGGUGCACCCCUCCCAAGUCUGGGGCAAUCCCUAACCAUAUGGCGUGUGUCAUCACACUCAAAACAAGAUCUGGGAGGACAUGGUGGUUGUGAAUGACUAGGUCCAGGUCUGUUGGACUAACCUCUAAAAGCACCCCGCGCAGGAGGCGCACUAGAAACCGGAGGUGCAUAAUAAGGCUUCUGAGAUCUAGGAGGAGCUGGAGCACUGCUGGCUACUGGAAGAGCUAAAUUAACAGGGCGACUCAUAUAACCCCUACCAUGAAGACCUGCAGCUGGGGUAUGGGCACCAGAAUAAUGGCCCGACUCUCGAGACCUCUUGGCCUUCCUCUCCUCUCUCUCCCUAGCAUGCAUACCCUCAAUUCUCCUAGCAAUGCUCACCACCUGCUGGUAAGAAAUGUCUAUCUCCAACUCUCGAGCCAUGCUAGAUCUGAUGGGUGGGAUAAGGCCCUCAAUGAACCGACGAACCCUCUCACGGACAGUAGCAACCAAGGCCCGUGCAUGCCUAACCAAUCUGGUAUAACAGAUAACAUACUCUGAAACAGUCAUAGCACCCUGGCGCAAAUGCUCAAACUCUACGCGUCAUGCGUCCCUGAGGCUAUGAGGGACAAACUCUUUCAGGAACAUAUCUAAGAACUGGGUCCAAGUCAGUGAAGCAGCCAUAUUUGGACUGUCUAACUCAUAGGUGCACCAGUCAUAGGUGGCUCCCCGAAGCUGGAAAGCAGUAAAGCAAACCCCGCUAGAUCCUGUUAUACCCAUAGUGCGAAGAAUACAGUGGCACUCCUCCAGAAAUCCCAAGGCAUCAUCUGAUGCUAAUCUACUGAAUACCGGAGGAUCAUACUUCUUGAACCUCUCAAGUCUCUGCUGCUCGUCCUCUGAAGCAGUUGCCCCGUCCUCGGGCUGAACUGGCACUGCAGGCGGUGCUGGAAUGAUCUUUGGGACCUGCUCAACAUGCACUUGCUGCUUCAGAGUGCGGGCGGUGGGAGACUGUGCUCUUACCCCAGCCUGGGAUAUGGCUGCGGCAAGGAGAAGCAACCCUGCCUGAGCCAAGGUGGUGUACAUACUCAUGAACUGAGCCAGAGUCUCCUGAAGGGCUGGAGUAGUAGUGGCAGUAGGCGUGUCAGGUGCCUGGACUCUGGUUGGAUCUACUGGCGGUACCUCGCGCAGGUGCUCUCACUGCACCACAUGCGCAUCCUCGGCCUCUACCUCGGCCCCGACAUCUGACGGCUACAGUAGGGGGCGGGGGUGCAUGAUCAUCUCGAGUAGCACGUGUCCUCACCAUCUGUGAGAGAAUAGAAAACAGAAGUUUAGAAUUGUGAUGUCAAAAUAUCGCACGACAAGGAAAUCAAUUGAAGUGAAGAUUUUUCCUAACAGUUACAUAGCCUCUUGUAGAUAAGUAUAAACAUCUCAGUACCGAUCAGCGAGACUCUAAUAAACCGGCAUGUGUUUCGUGAGUCCUAUGAACCUAGAGCUCUGAUACCAACUUGUCACGACCCCAAUUCACCCUCUGUGAACAUGCCCUGACGGCACCUAGUCUCUAUGACUAGGUAAGCCUAACAAUGCGGAAAAUAAACUAACUUGCAAAAUAAAUAAUCAAAACUGAACAACUGGAAGAAAAUUGUAUAUAAAAAUGCCGCUCGGCAUACCAAUAUUACAAAAUCCUACAAUACUAUCCCAAAACCAAGAAACUCACGAGAACACACGCUGAAAGAAACGUAGUACAAUGCUCUAACUCCAGAAUGUCUACAACAACAGUAAGAAAGAAGGCUAAAUACUAAAAGAUGGAAUAAGAUAGAGACUCCUUGGUCUGCGGACGCGGCAAAUGUACCUCGAAGUCUCUGAUAGAUCUCCCCGCCUUAAGAGUGAUACGCCUGGGUAGAGGUACCUAGAUCUGCACAUGAAAAACAUGCGUAGAAAGGGCAUGAGUACACCACCGUGGUACUCAGUAAGUGCCAAGCCUAACCUCGGUCGGGUAGUGACGAGGAAGGUCAGGGCCCUAUUGAGGUUAAACAUAAUAUAAAGUUUUAACAGUAUGAAAUAGACAAUAUAAAUGAGUACAACAGUGAAAUAAGAUAGGUUAUACAAGGCAACAACAAAUAUACAAAGAACAAAGUAACACAGAAUAAGAACAAUUCAAUACCAAUAGCAACAACGAGGAUCUCCCAGGAUACCGUCCUGUAGUCCCUUUCAUCAACUGUCCAGUGGAUCUCUCGGGAUACCGUCCCGUAGUCCAAUCAUCAAUGCACGGGGAUCUACCGGAACCCCAGUCCGUAUUCCUAAAUGUAAAUACUCAGUACUGGAGGAAUCUACCGGGUGCAUUUCCGUAGUUCUAUAUAACUGUGUAGGGGGAUCUACUGGGAAUCUAACCCGUAGUCCCAAAGUAAACAAACAAGGGGGGGGGGAAGCUACCGGAAUCCCACAUCCGUAGUCCUAAUGUAAAUACACAGCAACAACAAGAAGAUAUUUCAGAAAUUAAAUUUCAUAUCAAGGAAAAAUAAGUAAUUCUAGCCUAACAUGCUUCACGUAGUGCACUCAAGCCAAUUUAAGUAAGUAGGCAAUUUAAGUCAACUAAACAUGCUUUUCUAACUAACAACGUGCUAAAUUUGCAAGUAUAAUAAACAGGAAAGGGAACAUGUUAAUAAAUACUUUAAGAAAAUCGUAUUUCCAACAAUUUGCACAAGUACGCGCUCGUCACCUCAUGCACAAGGCAAUUAAAUCACCAAAUAUGCACAUCAUAAGGGGAAGGUCCCCCACACAAGGUUAGACAAGCCACUUACCUCGAACUGGCUCAAAAUCAACUAAAAACCACGCUUUUGCCACGAGUAUCCGACUCCAAAUGGCCCAAAUCUAUUCAAUUCCAUUUCAUAAUGUAAAUAAUACUUCAAGAAGCUGAUUCUACAAUAAAAUUCUAAGCUAAUACGCGAAAUUAUGUAAGAUGACAAAAACGCCCCUCGGGCCACGUCUCAGAAUCGAGUAAAAUUUAUAUUUUCAGAAACCUCGUACUCUCAGGAGUUCAACCAUACUAAAAUUAUCCAAAUCUGAUGCCAAUUGCCCAACCAAAACUCAAUAAUUCGGCCUAUGAAGUUUUACCUAAUUUUCAUUCAAAAUCCGAAAUUAGAGGAGGAAUUCAUGCUUAGAUUAGUGGAUUACAAGCAAAAAGGAGUUUAGAAUCGUUACCCAAUCGAUAUCUCUAAAAAUUUCUCAAAAUCUCGCUCAAAUCCGAGCUCCCAAGCUUAAGUUUUGAUAAAAAUGGCUAAACCCUUGAUUUUUAAAAUCUUAUAUCUGCCCAGGCGCGUUCUUCUUCGCGAACGCGAGGCUACUAUCGCGAACGCGAUGCACAAAAGUCCUGCUGGCCAAAUUCCUCUUUCGCGAACGCGUAUCUUACACGAGCAGACCUUACGCGAACGCGUGGACCAUAACGCGAUGACUAAUGAGCCCUUACCUUCGCGAAAGCGGGACAUCAUCGCGAACGCGAAACACAUAACAGCUGCUCUACUUCACAAACCUUCACGAAUGCGGGAUAGACUUCGCGAAUGCGAAGCACAAUCCUCCCCCCAGCCCCAGUUCCCCUACGCGAACACGAGACCCCACUCGCGAACGCGAAGAAGGAAACCAGAACUGGGCUGCUGCAAUAUUUUCUGCAAUUCUCUAAGUUCUAAACAUGACCCGUUGAGCAUCCGAAACACACCCGAGGCCCCUGGGACCUCAACCAAAAGCACCAACAUAACCUAAAACGUCAUUCAAACUUGUUCCAACCUUCGGAACGCUACAAACAACACCCAAACACCCAUUUUUCAUCGAUUUCAAGCCUAAAAUUUUAAAAACUCUAUAAAAUACACUUUCGAUCAAAAAGUCUAUCAAACCUCGUCCGAAUGACCUGAUAUUUUGCACACACAACCCAAAUGACAUGACGAAGCUACUGCAACUCUCGGAAUUCCAUUCCGACUUUCGGAUCAAAAUCUCACUACCGAACCGGAAACUUCCAAAAUUCAAAUCUUCGGCAUUUCAAGCCUAAAUUAGCUACGGACCUCCAAAACAUGUUUCAGACACGCUCCUAACCCCGAAAUCACCUAACGGAGCUAACGGAACCAUCAGAUUUCCAUUCCGAGGCCGUCUUCACACUGUUCCGACUACGGACAACUUUCCAACACUUAAGCUCUUAUUUAGGGACUAAGUGUCCCAAAACUCUCUGAAACUCAAAACUGAACAUCCCGGCAAAUCAAAUUAGCAUAAAUAAACUUGAGGAAAGCAGUUAAUAGGAGAUCAGACGUUAAUUCUUAAGACGACCGGCCGGAUCGUCACAGUAGUCAUUACUAAAAAUAGCAAACUCAGGAGUGACGAUAAGCUUGAGAAGUGCUUUCAGUGUCUCAUGCGCACAAAUAAAUCCAUGUUAUCGGCAUGAAAAGCCAUUAAAAAGUUAAGCACUACAAGCUCAAAACUCCAUGUGAUAGACACCGUGUCCGUACAUUUUCUCAAAUGAGAAUGAGAUGAAAUGACACUGCUGUAAAUACCUAAUUUUUGCUCCUUUUUUUAAAAAUUUGUUUAUUAUGUGUGUUUGUGUAGGUUUUAGGAGUUGAUUAUAGUUUAAUGUAAAAAGGGAAUAAGAGUUGGGCUAAGUUGUGUUUUUAGCCGAAAUGGGCCAACAAUCGGACCAAAUCAGUGGCCCAAUGGCACUGACCCGGUCCAAGAUGAGGCUAGCAGUGGAGUAAUUAAAAGACGUAGUUUCAUAGUGAAGCUACGCCAUUUCAUUUAGUGAUCCAAGGAUCGGAUCUCAGCCAUCUAUAGUGUUGUAAUCGGACGACUCUCAUUCAAUCACAACACAGGUAUUUAAUACCUUAAUUACCCAAAAUUUUGAAUCGCCACCACCAGCAGAACACCCCAAACCACUCCAUUCUUACACCGUUUUCUCCUCUCGUCCUACUCUACCCGAUUCCUAUUGAAUAUUGAUAAAAUGUAAUUCCUAUUUAGUUGGGUAAUUAGCAUAUUUCAGGUUUAGUUGAGUCAAAGCAUAUCUUUAUUAGUAGUUUAGCGGGUAAAUUAGUGGUUAAGUUAGUGGGUCAUGUUCAGACAGUUAUCUCUUAGUAAGUUAGACUAAAUCUCUAGAUAAAGGGUGCUAUGUAGCUUUAUUUUUUUCGUGAAACUAAGUAACAAAAAUUUCUCUGCAUUAAACAGUCUUCUUCUAUAAUAGUUUUCUUGCUUCUUCUUCAAUUCCCCCAACAAUUUUUGUAUCAGAGCGAGGUGAGAAGUGAGAGAGUGGAACUCCACAAAUUACCAACCUUAUGUUCUUUUUUCUCUUUUUCCAGGUUAGGUCAAACUGGGAAGGUAAAGUAAGAGCAAAAAAAAAAGAGUCAAAAUUGAGGGAAAAGAAUGGCUCCCAAUAGAGCAUCCACCACUUCUCAGCAACUAAUUCAUACUUUUAAUGGGGAUAAAUAUGAAUUUUGGAGCAUAUAAAUGAAGACUUAGUUCAAGUCUCAAGAAUUGUGGGACUUGGUGGAGAAUGGCUAUGUUGAGGAAAACGAAGCUCAAAGACUACAGGAGAACAAAAAGGACUCCAAGGCCCGGUUUUACAUCCAGCAAGCUAUGCAUGAGUCAAUUUUCUCCAGAAUUGUUGUUGCAUAGACCUCAAAAGAAGCAUGAGAGACUAUAAGAAAGAAUUCGCGGCUCAACAAAGGUAAUGAUUGUUAAACUCCAGUCACUCCGGCGUGAUUUUGAAAAUUCAUCGAUGGAAAGUAGUGAAUCUGUGCAAGACUACUUAUCUAUGGUGACUGCAAUUGUUAGUCAAAUGAAGUGCAAUUGUUAGUCAAAUGAAGGCAUAUGAUGACACAAUUAGCGAUGAAGUUGUUGUCUCUGAAGCUCUAAAAAGUCUUAAUAAACGAUUUGACCAUAUUGUAGCUGCUAUUGAGAAGUCCCAUGAUUUAUCUACUAUACCUUUAAUGAAUUGAUAAGUUCCUUGCAAGCUCAUAAGGAUAGACUGUAUGCCUCUCAUGAGAAGGGCGAAGAUAAGGCAUUUCAAAUGAAGGGGGAGUCUUCUUUUAAAGGCAAAUCAGAAGUUUCAAAUGUUAGAGGGCAUGGAGGCAGAGGUGGUUUUCGUGGUCGAGGUCGUGGCAGAGGACAAGGUCAAUUUGGUGGUCAGAACCGACAGUUCAAGAGCACCAUUCAAUGUCGCUAUUGCAAAAAGUUCGGCCAUAAGGAAGUUAAUUGCUGGGCUAAACAAAAGGAUGACCAAAAGCAUGCCAAUUUCAUGGAGAAACCACAAUAGGAGAGUAAUCUGUUCAUGGCUCUCUCCUCUAUAGGUGCUGGUUUGAAUGGUGUCUGGUUCAUUGACAGUGGUUGUUCUAACCACAUGUCUGGCACAAGGUCGUUGUUCAAAGAGCUUGAUGAAUCGAAGAAGUCAGAAGUUCGGCUAGGAAAUGAUAAAGCAAUGAAAGACGAAGGGAAAGGUACAGUUGCCUUAAAAACUUCUCAAGGUAAUAUUAAACUUCUCCAUGAUGUGCAGUAUGUUCCUUGUUUAGCUCAUAACCUAUUGAGUGCUGGGCGAUUGAUGACUUGUGGAUACUUUAUUCUAUUUGAUGACAACUCUCGUAGCAUUCAAGAUAAAAAAAUCAGGUCAAAAAAUUGUUAAUGUUCAAAUGACUCAGAACAAAAUGUUUCCUCUUGAAGUUUCUAAUGUUAAAAGUUAUGCAUUAGUUGCCAAAGGUGGUAUAGAAGCUAACUUGUGACUUGCAGUAUGGUCAUUUGAAUAUAAAGGGGUUGCAAUUAUUAGGUCACAAAAAUAUGGUUCUUGGUUUGCCUAAAAUUGAUGCUCUUGAAUUUUGUGAAGGAGGUGUGAAUGGGAAGCAAAAUAGAAAUUCAUUCCCUGUAGGCAAGUCCUGGAGAGCUUCUAUUUGUCAUGAGUUGGUGCACGCUGAUUUGUGCGGCCCUAUGAGUGUUGAGUCCUUAGGUGGAAGUCGAUACUUUCUACUUUUUACUAAGGAUUAUAGUCGAAUGAGUUGGGUAUAUUUCUUUUAAUUCAAAUCUGAAACGUUUGAAUAUUUUAAGAAAUUUAAGUCUUUUGUUGAGAGGCAAAGUGGCUAUAGAGUCAAGACUCUUCUAACAGAUAGAAGUGGCGAGUUUAUGUCAAAUAAGUUCAACUCUUUUUGUGAUGAAAAUGGUAUUCACAGAGAGCUCAUAGCACCAUAUACACUGGAGCAGAAUGGUGUAGCCGAACGAAAGAACCAGACAGUUGUUGAGAUGGGUAGAAGCAUGAUGCAAGCCAAAGGUGUACCAAAGUGUUUCUAGGCUGAAACUGUUGCCACAACUGUCUAUUUGCUGAAUAUUUCACCCACCAAGGCUGUUCUUAAUCAAACACCAUAUGAAGCAUGGAAAGGUAACAAGCCUAAGGUAAGCCACUUAUGCAUCUUUUGAUGUAUAGCUUAUGCUUUGGUGAAUUCACAGGAUCAACAUAAGCUUGAUGGAAAAUCUGAAAAAUGUAUCUUUGUUGGCUAUAAUGCACAAUCCAAAGCUUAUAAGCUAUAUAAUUCAGUGAGUGGCAAAGUUGUAAUCAGUAGAAAUGUUGUGUUUAAUGAAGAUGCAACCUAGAACUUCAAUUCCGGGAAUGUGAAUAUAUAAAUUGGCACCUACUGAUGAUGUUUUUAAUCAAGAAUCUGCAGCAGACUCUACUCCAGGGAACUCAUCUAAUUCUUCUCGAGCAAGUAGCGGUCUUUCUCCUCCUCAGUCAAGCACCUCUUAUCCAGCAAGUGAUCACUCCUUAACUCCACAAGGAAGCGGCAACAAUUUUUCUCCAUCAGACUCUUCCAACGAGACUCCACCAACAAAAUUCAGAUUUUUGAGGAAAAUUAAUGAAAUUGCUCUUUUGAUUUGUAUGUUGCAGAACCCACUUGUUUCAAGGAAGCUGCUGAGAUUGAAGAAAGGAAAAAUGCAAUGAUAGAAGAGCAAUUGAGCAGAAUCAGACAUGGGAGUUGGUGGAUCUACUAGAUGGCAAAGAACCCAUUGGACUCAAAUGGGUGUUCAAAAUAAAGUAUCAUGCAGACGGGAGCAUACAGAGAUACUAGUGAGGCUGGUAACUAAAGGAUAUGCACAAUAUCAAGGUAUUGAUUAUGAUGAAACGUUUUCACCUGUUGCUCGCUUUGAAACAGUGAGAAUGCACUUAUCUUUGGCUGCUACAUUAACCUGGCCCGUUUAUCAAUUUGAUGUUGGAUCUGCAUUCUUAAACAGGGAUCUAGAAGAGGUUAAGUUUCCCAACCUGAGGGUUUUGUUAUUACAGAUGAUAAGAGCAAAGUGUACAAGCUAUAAAAGGCUCUUUAUGGGCUAAAACAAGUGCCACGGGCGUGGUACAACAAAAUUAACUCGUAUUUCCUAAAGAACAUAUUUGAAAGGAGCGAGAGCGAGCCUACAUUGUAUGUAAAGAAGUAAGGUAUGAGUGAUUUUCUGGUAGUUUGUCUGUAUGUUGAUGACAUGAUUUAUACGGGAUCAUGUAAAACUUUGGCGGCUGAAUUUAAAUCAUGUAUGAUGAAGGAGUUUGAAAUGUCAUAUUUAGGUAUCAUGCAAUAUUUUCUUGGUCUUCAAGUGAAACAUGAAGAAGAUGGUAUUUUUGUUUCACAAAGAAAGUAUGCAAAAGAUCUUCUGCUUAGGUUUGGUAUGCAGAAUUGUAAAGUGGCUGCUACACCCAUGAAUGCAAAUGAAAAAUUGCAGCUUGAAUAUGGCAUCGAUCCUGCUGAUCCAAGUUUAUUACAGAAGUUUGAUUGGAGGUUUGAAUUACCUAACACACACGUCCUGAUAUUAUGUUUUCGGUUAGUGUGUUAUCUAAGUAUAUGCAUAGUCCUACGAAGCAACAUCUUGGUGCUGCUAAAAGGGUUUUGCGAUAUGUUGCUGGGACCGUUGACUUUAGGAUUUGGUACUCUAAAGAUGCAGACUUCAGCUUGAUUGGUUAUAGUGACAGUGAUUGGGCAGGAAGUAUAGAUGACAGAAAGAGUACAUCUGGAAAUGUUUUCAGCUUUGGAUCUGGAGCAAUUUCGUGGUGUUCGGAGAAGCAGAACGUGGAUGCAUUAUCGUCGUCGAAAGCAGAAUAUGUUAUUGUAACUUCAACAGCUUGUUGGGCCAUAUGGUUGUGAAGAUUGUUAGUUGAUGUCUGCCAUCAGCAAGAGGGUGCAAUGAAAAUACUUUGUGACAACAAGGCAACGAUUGCAAUGACAAAGAAUUCGACUUUUCACAGCAGAACAAAGCAUAUUGACAUCCGUUAUCAUUUCAUUUGCAACCUCACAGCAAAAGGAGAAAUAGAGUUGAAGUUUUGCAGUACAAGGGAUCAAAUUGCUGAUGUCCUUACUAAGGCACUCCCACAAGUCAAGCAUGAUUAUUUUCGGUAGUAACUAGAAACUUGAAGUCUAUAGUUUUGAAUCAAGGGGAGUGCUGAAUAUUGAUUCAAAAAAUGUAAUUCCUAUUUAGUUGGGUAAUUGGCAUAUUUCCGAUUUAGUUGAGUCGAAGCAUAUCUUUAUUAGUGGCUUAGUGGAUAAAUUAGUGGUUAAGUUAUCAGUUAGUAAGUUAGACUAAACCCCUAUAUAAGGGUGCUAUGUAAGCUUUGUUUUCUAUGUAACUAAAGAAAAGUUCUUUGCAUUAAACCGUCUUCUUCUAUAAGAAAUUUCUUGCUUUUUCUUCAAUUCCCACAAUAAUUCCGCACCCCAAAACCUUCAAAACCCUCCCAAAAACCAUAUAUCUCACAAAAAUCGAAAUCCUAGCGUUCCCGUUUUCUUCAAAUUCAUGAGGAUUGAGUCAUCCCCUUCGCCCAACACAUACAGACAUAUAGAGCUCGACUCGAUCUCCGGUGACUCGAAUUCCAGCGAAGCUUCCGUUCACUCCUGCUGCCGCCUUCCUCCACCCCACUGACUCGAGCUCUUUUAGCCGUUUUCGACCAAAAACCCUCUUUUCUUUCCAUUAUGCUGCUGAAAAUAUUUAUUUCAGCGUCUGUUGGAACACAUCAAGUGUUCCAAGGUCGGACAACCGCUCGUCUUUGUCCCC
Molecule: long non-coding RNA, 38481 nt
Filed under: Nicotiana tabacum (common tobacco)
Lineage: Eukaryota; Viridiplantae; Streptophyta; Magnoliopsida; Solanales; Solanaceae
Description: long non-coding RNA (NTAB_LNC019433)
Source: RNAcentral